UAGGGAAUCUUCCACAAUGGACGCAAGUCUGAUGGAGCAACGCCGCGUGAGUGAAGAAGGUUUUCGGAUCGUAAAGCUCUGUUGUUGGUGAAGAAGGAUAGAGGCAGUAACUGGUCUUUAUUUGACGGUAAUCAACCAGAAAGUCACGGCUAACUACGUGCCAGCAGCCGCGGUAAUACGUAGGUGGCAAGCGUUGUCCGGAUUUAUUGGGCGUAAAGCGAGCGCAGGCGGAAUGAUAAGUCUGAUGUGAAAGCCCACGGCUCAACCGUGGAACUGCAUCGGAAACUGUCAUUCUUGAGUGCAGAAGAGGAGAGUGGAAUUCCAUGUGUAGCGGUGGAAUGCGUAGAUAUAUGGAAGAACACCAGUGGCGAAGGCGGCUCUCUGGUAUGCAACUGACGCUGAGGCUCGAAAGCAUGGGUAGCGAACAGG
This 429-nucleotide ribosomal RNA is filed under the name bacterium. RNAcentral's name for it is "partial 16S ribosomal RNA". It matches the Rfam family "Bacterial small subunit ribosomal RNA", at positions 355 to 776 of the family's 1533-position model. The record is from RNAcentral.